This 254-nucleotide ribosomal RNA is filed under the name uncultured bacterium. Its description in RNAcentral is "partial 16S ribosomal RNA". It matches the Rfam family "Bacterial small subunit ribosomal RNA", at positions 524 to 776 of the family's 1533-position model. The record is from RNAcentral.
UACAGAGGGUGCGAGCGUUGUCCGGAAUCACUGGGCAUAAAGGGCGCGUAGGUGGUGGCUUAAGCGUGCGGUGAAAGCUCGGAGCUCAACUCCGAGUCGGCCGUGCGAACUGGGCUCACUGGAGCAUAGUAGAGGCAGGUGGAAUUCCGGGUGUAGCGGUGGAAUGCGUAGAGAUCCGGAAGAACACCGGUGGCGAAGGCGGCCUGCUGGGCUAUGGCUGACACUGAGGCGCGACAGCGUGGGGAGCAAACAGG